GGCGGACGGGUUAGAUAACGCGUGGGAACGUACCCAGAUCUAAGGAAUAGCCACUGUGAAACGGCUGAGUAAUACCUUAUACGCCCUUCGGGGGAAAGAUUUAUCGGAUUUGGAUCGGCCCGCGUUAGAUUAGGUAGUUGGUGGGGUAAUGGCCUACCAAGCCUACGAUCUAUAGCUGGUUUUAGAGGAUGAUCAGCAACACUGGGACUGAGACACGGCCCAGACUCCUACGGGAGGCAGCAGUGGGGAAUCUUAGACAAUGGGCGCAAGCCUGAUCUAGCCAUGCCGCGUGAGUGAUGAAGGCCUUAGGGUCGUAAAGCUCUUUCGCCUGUGAUGAUAAUGACAGUAGCAGGUAAAGAAACCCCGGCUAACUCCGUGCCAGCAGCCGCGGUAAUACGGAGGGGGUUAGCGUUGUUCGGAAUUACUGGGCGUAAAGCGCAC
This 441-nucleotide ribosomal RNA is filed under the name uncultured Roseovarius sp. RNAcentral describes it as "bacterial SSU rRNA". It matches the Rfam family "Bacterial small subunit ribosomal RNA", at positions 97 to 570 of the family's 1533-position model. The record is from RNAcentral. Lineage: Bacteria; Pseudomonadati; Pseudomonadota; Alphaproteobacteria; Rhodobacterales; Roseobacteraceae.